This 1761-nucleotide long non-coding RNA is filed under the name Mytilus galloprovincialis (Mediterranean mussel). Lineage: Eukaryota; Metazoa; Mollusca; Bivalvia; Mytilida; Mytilidae. The record is from RNAcentral.
GCUCGGAAAUUUGGAGACAAAUUUAAUGAAGCACAGAUCUUCUUAUUUUACAGACACGAUAUAUCAAACCUUUUUUUUUUUUUUUUUUAAAUAUAUCAAACUUAAACCAAACGAGUUGAUUGUAAAAACGUAAAACAAAUAGACGAAAGCUGUUGCACUAGCUGAAAUCUUUUAUCGUAUUCCUAUAUCAUAUCUUUUAUCGUAUUCCUAUAUCAUAUCUUUUAUCGUAUUCCUAUAUCAUAUCUUAUUUAAACAAUAUGACUAUUGGAAUAUUGAAAGUAGAAAUACUCCAAUAAAUGUGUCUAUCAGUAAUGGGUGUCUUUUAGUACUUUACAUAACUGUUUCUAGACAGAAGAAAAAUAUGUUUAAAUAAAGCUAUUAAAUAGAUAAGAGUGUAAAUACAGCUGCAUUGGCUAGUCUGGAAACGCAGAUUGGAAUAAAAUCAGUUCAGAUCAAAUAAAUUUCAAAUGAUUUCGAGGUUGUUUUUUUUUUCACUAAAUUUCCCAAUAACAAUAUAUCCAUAUUAAAACAUGCCAACACCUAGGUACUGUGUUUGUUAUACCUUAGGGACUAAUAGUCCACCACCAACGGUAUCUACACAGUGGUAAAGUAACAUGGAUUGGUAUCAAUCUCUCUGCACAUGUAAGAACUUUAGUUUUGUACUUUAUUUUAUACAAAAAUAGUUACCACCUGAUUCUAAAAGAACUUUUUCAUGUUCAAUCCAACAAUUCAACAAAGAAAGUAGACAACAUAAGUUUGCCAACAAAAAUCAAUAAGGCUCUGUGACAUUCCACAACUAUUCCUCAAUGUUAUACUUAUAUAUAAGUUACUUUAUGUGUCAUUGUUUUCUAUAAUAGUCCUAGACAGUAUGUCUGUCCUAGUACAUGUAUGUAAGUACAAAUAACUAAAGUAUUAUUCAUUUCUUUAGAUCUCCGAAAGUUUGUUUCAAAUUGAAUAAAAGUUCUUACCCCAAAUCUGACCUUACAAACGGCCCGAAAAAAAAACAGAAAGUAGAUUGCCUCCCUUUCUGAGAGCUAACGACCAGACUUCCGAUAUUUACCGGGUGAACAUAUUAGUUGUCAUGUUGUAAUUUAAAUGAAAAAGGUAGACUUGAAAAAAUCAAUCAGACUGUUCGAUCAGCAUUGAUCAUCAGAGCAUAAAAAAACUUGUCUCUUUAAAAAUAAAAUAGUGUCUGGGUCAUUGUGAGGUGCAAGCAGGUACAAACAGGUGUAUAAGUUACCUAUAUAGGUAAAAAUAACAAGUUUGUUAAGUUGCAGGUUAUAUGUUGAAAGCAUUUGUCAAACAAAUUGGUGUUUCUGGGGAUGAAAUAUGUAUACAGGUGAGUUUUGUAACAAAUAAAACAAAUCUAGACCACCAUGACACACCAUUGACAUAGUUGUUUAAAGGUUAGCCAAACACAGACUACAAUGUAAACUUUAAUCUCCACAGGUAAGGGGAUUAGGACAGGAAUUACUCAGACAAUUAUAUAUACCUCCAUUAUCAUAUUUCUCUAGAGAGUACUGUCAAUAUCCAAUCAACAAUUUCAGUUUUUAAUUCAACAAGGAGUUAUGGGUUUUUUUUUUCUAUACUCUGUAACCCUGAAAUAUAUUCUAAUGCUUUAACGAUUUUUUAAAACAAUUUUAGCUGAUUCCGAACUUCAAUGAAUCGACCUCAAAGAUACAUUCUAUCAAUAUUAUAGUUUGUUAACAAGACUUAAUCUUAUGUAUAAAACCAUUUGUAAACAUCAUAGAAUUCACUUUC